This 239-nucleotide ribosomal RNA is filed under the name uncultured Lactobacillus sp. RNAcentral's name for it is "partial 16S ribosomal RNA". It matches the Rfam family "Bacterial small subunit ribosomal RNA", at positions 122 to 356 of the family's 1533-position model. The record is from RNAcentral. Lineage: Bacteria; Bacillati; Bacillota; Bacilli; Lactobacillales; Lactobacillaceae.
UAACCUGCCCAAGAGAUCGGGAUAACACCUGGAAACAGAUGCUAAUACCGGAUAACAACAGAUGAUGCCUAUCAACUGUUUAAAAGAUGGUUCUGCUAUCACUCUUGGAUGGACCUGCGGUGCAUUAGCUAGUUGGUAGGGUAACGGCCUACCAAGGCGAUGAUGCAUAGCCGAGUUGAGAGACUGAUCGGCCACAUUGGGACUGAGACACGGCCCAAACUCCACGGGAGGCAGCAGUG